GGUUUGACAUGAUGUCAUCGAUAGCUCAAGGGGAGUGACUGAUGAUGCUAUAAUUGAACCGAAAACAAGUUGUUUCACAUCUUGAUAGGAAUGAAUCUGUUCAUCUUUUUCUCCAUAUAUUUACAGAGCUGUUUUUUGUGAUGCACAUUU
Molecule: small nucleolar RNA, 150 nt
Organism: Benincasa hispida (wax gourd)
Lineage: Eukaryota; Viridiplantae; Streptophyta; Magnoliopsida; Cucurbitales; Cucurbitaceae
Product: small nucleolar RNA snoR2/U65
Source: RefSeq, a predicted model, not a curated record